This 492-nucleotide ribosomal RNA is filed under the name uncultured bacterium. RNAcentral's name for it is "partial 16S ribosomal RNA". It matches the Rfam family "Bacterial small subunit ribosomal RNA", at positions 29 to 507 of the family's 1533-position model. The record is from RNAcentral.
AGUGAACGCUGGCGGUAGGCCUAACACAUGCAAGUCGAACGGCAGCACAGUAAGAGCUUGCUCUUACGGGUGGCGAGUGGCGGACGGGUGAGGAAUACAUCGAAAUCUACUUUUUCGUGGGGGAUAACGUAGGGAAACUUACGCUAAUACCGCAUACGACCUACGGGUGAAAGCAGGGGAUCUUCGGACCUUGCGCGAUUGAAUGAGCCGAUGUCGGAUUAGCUAGUUGGCGGGGUAAAGGCCCACCAAGGCGACGAUCCGUAGCUGGUCUGAGAGGAUGAACAGCCACACUGGAACUGAGACACGGUCCAGACUCCUACGGGAGGCAGCAGUGGGGAAUAUUGGACAAUGGGCGCAAGCCUGAUCCAGCCAUACCGCGUGGGUGAAGAAGGCCUUCGGGUUGUAAAGCCCUUUUGUUGGGAAAGAAAGGCAGCAGGUUAAUACCCCGCUGUUCUGACGGUACCCAAAGAAUAAGCACCGGCUAACUUCGUG